Oncorhynchus tshawytscha (Chinook salmon) is the source of this 547-nucleotide long non-coding RNA. RefSeq lists it as uncharacterized. The record is from RefSeq and is a predicted model, not a curated record. Lineage: Eukaryota; Metazoa; Chordata; Actinopteri; Salmoniformes; Salmonidae. The transcript is spliced from 2 exons.
GGUUUUUGUGUCUGCACCAGACAGAACUGUUUCGGUGCCGUUGGUUCUCUUUGUUGGUUUGUUAAUCAGUGUUCAGUUCCAUGAAUAAAAGCAUGAACAUGUACCAUGCGGCACCUUGGUCCUCUCCUUCCAACGGCCGUUACAACGAGUGAAUAGAGUAGUCUUCAUUUCCUCUGGCAUACAGCCAUCAAUACUCUCUCCCAGACUGGAAUACUGGUACGAGACAGCCAUCAAUACACUCUCCCAGACUGGACUACUGGUACGAGACAGCCAUCAAUACUCUCUCCCAGACUGGAAUACUGGUACGAGACAGCCAUCAAUACUCUCUCCCAGACUGGACUACUGGUACGAGACAGCCAUCAAUACUCUCUCCCAGACUGGACUACUGGUACGAGACAGCCAUCAAUACUCUCUCCCAGACUGGACUACUGGUACGAGACAGCCAUCAAUACUCUCUCCCAGACUGGACUACUGGUACGAGACAGCCAUCAAUACUCUCUCCCAGACUGGACUACUGGUACAGGACAGCCAUCAAUACUCUCUCCCA